UACAGGAGGUCUCAAGCGUUUGUUCGGAUUCAUUGGGCGUAAAGGGUGCGUAGGUGGCGGGGUUAGUCAGGUGUGAAAUCUCGGAGCUCAACUCCGAAACUGCACUUGAUACUGCCUUGCUAGAGUACUGGAGAGGAGAUUGGAAUUUACGGUGUAGCAGUGAAAUGCGUAGAUAUCGUAAGGAAGACCAGUGGCGAAGGCGAAUCUCUGGACAGUUACUGACACUGAGGCACGAAGGCCAGGGGAGCAAACGGG
Molecule: ribosomal RNA, 255 nt
Filed under: uncultured bacterium
Lineage: Bacteria
Description: partial 16S ribosomal RNA
Rfam family: Bacterial small subunit ribosomal RNA
Source: RNAcentral